CGCGUAGGCGGUGUGAUGUGAGUGGUGUGAAAGCCCUGGGCUUAACCUAGGAAGCGCACCGCAGACUAUCAUACUGGAGUAGAUGAGAGGGUGAUGGAAUUUCCGGUGUAGCGGUGAAAUGCGUAGAGAUCGGAAGGAACGUCGAUGGCGAAGGCAGUCACCUGGCAUCAUACUGACGCUGAAGCGCGAAAGCGGUGGGGAUCGAACA
RNAcentral lists this ribosomal RNA (208 nucleotides) under uncultured bacterium. Its description in RNAcentral is "partial 16S ribosomal RNA". It matches the Rfam family "Bacterial small subunit ribosomal RNA", at positions 568 to 774 of the family's 1533-position model. The record is from RNAcentral.